This is a long non-coding RNA of Mizuhopecten yessoensis (Yesso scallop), 500 nucleotides long. RefSeq lists it as uncharacterized. The transcript has 4 exons. The record is from RefSeq and is a predicted model, not a curated record. Lineage: Eukaryota; Metazoa; Mollusca; Bivalvia; Pectinida; Pectinidae.
GUUCAGAAUGACGUCGGCUGUGUUUAGUGUCACUGCUGUACUGGUGUCGUUUGCCGCUUUGUUUGGUUCAUCAAGUGGCGGCUGUUUUAUACAAAAAGACUGCUGUUACAACGAAUGCUGCGUCUCCAUCAACCAGUCCAGGGGAAAACGAUCGUCCUUUCCAACUGGACGCUGCCAAGCCCUGGGUCAACAAGGGUCAAAAUGUCUGGUGGAUUUCGGAAGCGCUUCAACACCACCUGCUGGCUGAGUUCAAGCAUGUCCAUGUAAUGGUUCCCUGGAAUGCAAAGGAACUGGAGAUUUUGAAGUUCCACAGGGAGAAAUAGGUGCGUGUAGAGGAAUCACUAUAUACAAAAGAUGAAUUGUAUAUCCAUGGAUUGAAAAAAAGAACAAACACUGUGCCGGUGACAGAAAACGGAAAUAGAACAAUGCUUUAGAAAAAGAUCACUUAGUUCAAUUGUUUAUUUUGACUUAAGCACACACUUGACAUGUCAUAUUAUAUC